This 311-nucleotide long non-coding RNA is filed under the name Musa acuminata (dwarf banana). RNAcentral's name for it is "long non-coding RNA (MACU_LNC005256)". Lineage: Eukaryota; Viridiplantae; Streptophyta; Magnoliopsida; Zingiberales; Musaceae. The record is from RNAcentral.
UUUGUGAGAGAUUUGUUCCUUGCAUCGUAUUGUCCCGAAAAGGCACAUGUACGUUUUGUUGUUCCGCGUGUGCUUCCGAUAUUUGCUACUUAUUGUUAAAACAGCCCUCUUGUACUCUGGUGUUUGUGGGAUUGUCUGGACCUUUGCCAGAAAUGGUAAAGGGUAUGUGUUUAGAGCCUGCGAUGCUCUACCGGCCCCCUCUGGCUUCACUUAGACGUGGGUGGAUGGAGCUCCCAGACGUGGGAGACUUUUGUCUGGUGGUCAUUCAGAAAUGGAUGAAUCACGUUCUAUCUGAGGUCCCACUACACCUU